GAAACAGUGGCUAAGACUGGAUAGGAAGAAAUAAGGCAUCUUAUUUCUUUUAAAAGACCUAGUAAUAGGUAUACUUUAGGAGGGGCUUGCGCCAUAUUAGUUAGUUGGUAGGUAAUGGCCUACCAAGACGAUGAUGUGUAGCUGGACUGAGAGGUUGAACAGCCACAUUGGGACUGAGACACGGCCCAAACUCCUACGGGAGGCAGCAGUAAGGAAUUUUCGGCAAUGGAGGAAACUCUGACCGAGCAACGCCGCGUGAACGACGAAGUACUUUGGUAUGUAAAGUUCUUUUAUCAAGGAAGAAAAGCAAGUGGCGAACCAUUUGUUUGCCGGUACUUGAUGAAUAAGCCCCGGCUAAUUAUGUGCCAGCAGCCGCGGUAAGACAUAAGGGGCAAGUGUUAUCCGGAAUUAUUGGGCGUAAAGGGUGCGUAGGCGGUCUAGUAAGUCAGUGGUGUAAUGGCAACGCUCAACGUUGUCCGGCUAUUGAAACUGCUAAACUUGAGUUAGAUAGAGGCGAGUGGAAUUCCAUGUGUAGCGGUAAAAUGCGUAAAUAUAUGGAGGAACACCAGAGGCGUAGGCGGCUCGCUGGGUCUUAACUGACGCUGAGGCACGAAAGCGUGGGGAGCAAACAGGAUUAGAUACCCUGGUAGUCCACGCCGUAAACGAUGAGUACUAAGUGUCGGGUUAAACCGGUACUGAAGUUAACACAUUAAGUACUCCGCCUGAGUAGUACGUACGCAAGUAUGAAACUUAAAGGAAUUGACGGGACUCCGCACAAGCGGUGGAUCAUGUUGUUUAAUUCGAAGAUACCCGAAAAACCUUACCAGGUCUUGACAUGUUUUUGCGAAACGGUAGUAAUAUCGUAGAGGUUAUCAGAAACACAGGUGGUGCAUGGUUGUCGUCAGCUCGUGUCGUGAGAUGUUAGGUUAAGUCCUAAAACGAGCGAAACCCUUAUCGUUAGUUGCCAGCACGUUAUGGUGGGGACUUUAACGAGACUGCCAGUGAUAAACUGGAGGAAGGUGAGGAUCACGUCAAAUCAGCAUGCCCCUUAUGACCUGGGCUACAAACGUGAUACAAUGGCUGUUACAAAGGGUAGCUGAAACGUAAGUUCUUGGCCAAUCCCCAAAAACAGUCUCAGUCCGGAUUGAAGUCUGCAACUCGACUUCAUGAAGUUGGAAUCGCUAGUAAUCGCGAAUCAGCAUGUCGCGGUGAAUACGUUCUCGGGGUUUGUACACACCGCCCGUCA
Molecule: ribosomal RNA, 1246 nt
Filed under: Candidatus Phytoplasma citri
Lineage: Bacteria; Bacillati; Mycoplasmatota; Mollicutes; Acholeplasmatales; Acholeplasmataceae
Also listed under: 3 other names
Description: bacterial SSU rRNA
Rfam family: Bacterial small subunit ribosomal RNA
Source: RNAcentral